GCUUACGGCCACACCGGCCUGAGUACGCCUGAUCUCGUCCGAUCUCGGAAGCUAAGCAGGGUCGGGCCUGGUUAGUACUUGGAUGGGAGACCGCCUGGGAAUACCAGAUGCUGUAAGCU
This 119-nucleotide ribosomal RNA is filed under the name Oncorhynchus mykiss (rainbow trout). The record is from RNAcentral. Lineage: Eukaryota; Metazoa; Chordata; Actinopteri; Salmoniformes; Salmonidae.